This is an unclassified non-coding RNA of Carlito syrichta (Philippine tarsier), 199 nucleotides long. Lineage: Eukaryota; Metazoa; Chordata; Mammalia; Primates; Tarsiidae. The record is from Ensembl.
GAGCUGUCUGUCUUUUCCAUCUGGGCUGCAGACUGAGGUAAGGUCAGGGGCAUGUUCUACGGGCAGAACACAGGCCAGUCUUCAGAGACCAGUGUGCAAGGGAGUCCAGCACACUGUGCACAUGUCAUGCUGGGGGACAGAGCAGCAUGUGUGCUGUCUGGAGGUCUGUCUUGGAAUGUUGGUUGCCUAGCAACAAGAG